Rhododendron vialii is the source of this 112-nucleotide small nucleolar RNA. RefSeq annotates it as small nucleolar RNA snoR100. Lineage: Eukaryota; Viridiplantae; Streptophyta; Magnoliopsida; Ericales; Ericaceae. The record is from RefSeq and is a predicted model, not a curated record. The transcript has a single exon.
GAAUGAAGGAAGCACCGUAACGUGCACAUAAAUUGACUUGAGUCUCUCGGCCCGGCCUCUGAUGCCUUUCAGCUUUGAUUUGGCCAUUUGGGCAUGGUUUCGCAACAAAACG